CUCUUCAACCAGUCGGCUGAGAGAAGAGUCAUCUUCACCAACUCCCAAGUGAGCUAGUGGUUUUGAAGUGUGGAUCAUCCCUCUGCACUCUUCUCGUUACAGUAGUGAAACCCUCUUUGCUCUCAGAUGGAAAGAGACCCACUUUGGACCUUACUAACCUACUCAGCACCAUAGGAGAUAAUGGCAGCGAGGUGGGGAUCGUGUCUGACCAGC
This 213-nucleotide long non-coding RNA is filed under the name Elaeis guineensis (African oil palm). RNAcentral's name for it is "long non-coding RNA (EGUI_LNC044601)". The record is from RNAcentral. Lineage: Eukaryota; Viridiplantae; Streptophyta; Magnoliopsida; Arecales; Arecaceae.